Molecule: long non-coding RNA, 1373 nt
Organism: Trifolium pratense (red clover)
Lineage: Eukaryota; Viridiplantae; Streptophyta; Magnoliopsida; Fabales; Fabaceae
Exons: 3
Source: RefSeq, a predicted model, not a curated record
UGAGAUGUGCCGAUUUUAUAGUUAAAGAACUGAUGGUAAUUGGUCAUGAGUGUGCUGGGAUCAUAGAAGAAGUUGGUAGUCAGGUACAGAGUUUGGUGCCUGGUGCCCGUGUGGCGAUCGAGCCUGGGAUCAGCUGUUGGCGUUGUGACCAUUGCAAACUUGGUCGAUAUAAUCUUUGCCCUGAGAUGAAGUGUUUUGCUACUCCACCAGUUCAUGGAUCCUUGGCUAAUCAGAAAAACGCGACCGAUGUCGGUGCAAUUGCGGUUGUGAUAUUGUUGCGGACACUGCAAAAACCUUUAUAUUGCAAUCGCAAUUGCGGUUUCUGACCGCAAUUUAAAACCAUUGAUCUUUGUCCAAAUGGAAGUUUACUUUUCAUUCCUAAAUAUAAGAAAUGUCGAGGAACGAUGACAGUAUGAAGUUAAAAUUCGCAUUCGCAUACAAAGAACAUUGAUGUGCUUAGGCUAUUCAUACUUGUGCAAUUAAGUUUUCGGAAGUGGCUAUAGCACUGUUGUGCAUUUGUUGAUGGAUUUCUUGGGGGAUACCAAUGUCUGUCUGCUAUGGAUGUUGUUGUUUUGGUGCGAGAUAUUAUUGAGACUAACCCGAAGCUGUAUGUUUCUAUUAUUAUCACUAGGCUUUUGGAUACUUUUUAUUAAAUCCAUGCUGCAAGGGUUUGUUCUUGUGCUCUGUGGAUAAUUGGCUAGUAUUGUCCAUCUCUUUCGGAGGUUGAGAGUGGAAUUGCAACGAUUAAGCAGUGUCUCUUGGUGACAUUACCUUUUACACCAUCUAUGAGGAUGGAGGAGGAGGUUAGGAGACAUCGAAAGUCGUGCAGCAGGUGAACUCGACCACUGUGUCUUCUAGGAGACUCGAGAUUCUUGCAGAUGGGACCUAUGCUACCCAAAGUCCUGCUCUCGAGACUGCCGUGUCACCUCCUACCCUUGUACAUUGCUUGUUUUCUUCUAUUGGGAACUUGAGAUCAUUGAUGCUUUCAGGUGAUUUCUUCCUCGGGGAAGUUGUCACAUGCACCCUGACAAAGCUUAUCUUAAGGUUGGAAGUGGUCCAUACCUCAAAAGAUUAAGUUAAGAAGGCAACUUCUGAUAGGACCCAUUAUGAGAAAGUCCCAAAUAGAUAGGGGGAGUACUAUGCUGGCAUGUUAGUUUGAGAGAGUGAGAGCAUAUACAUGUGAGAGGUAGUAUAUAAGGUGUGUGAGAGGGAUAGUGGGGGGUUAUUCAGUAUCAUAUUGUAUUAGAUCCUUAGGGCUGGGCAAAGGGAGGGUUCUUUCUUCAUUUGAGUAGCUUUUCUCUGGGAUUAUAACGAUUCAAUCUCUGUAAUAGUUUCUUUUUAUCAUUAAUAAUACUUUUCUCUUCUUUCUUGAA